Molecule: ribosomal RNA, 253 nt
Filed under: uncultured bacterium
Lineage: Bacteria
Description: partial 16S ribosomal RNA
Rfam family: Bacterial small subunit ribosomal RNA
Source: RNAcentral
UACGUAGGGUGCAAGCGUUGUCCGGAAUUAUUGGGCGUAAAGAGCUCGUAGGCGGUCUGUUGCGUCGGCUGUGAAAACCCGAGGCUCAACCUCGGGCCUGCAGCCGAUACGGGCAGACUAGAGUUCGGCAGGGGAGACUGGAAUUCCUGGUGUAGCGGUGAAAUGCGCAGAUAUCAGGAAGAACACCCGUGGCGAAGGCGGCUCUCUGGGACGGUACUGACGCUGAGACGCGAAAGCGUGGGGAGCGAACAGG